This 382-nucleotide ribosomal RNA is filed under the name uncultured Peniculida. RNAcentral's name for it is "partial small subunit ribosomal RNA". It matches the Rfam family "Eukaryotic small subunit ribosomal RNA", at positions 30 to 432 of the family's 1831-position model. The record is from RNAcentral. Lineage: Eukaryota; Ciliophora; Oligohymenophorea; Peniculida.
GCUUGUCUCAAAGAUUAAGCCAUGCAUGUCUCAGUAUAAGCUUGUGCAUAGUGAAACUGCGAACGGCUCAUUAUAACAGUUAUAAUUUGUUUGGUGUUCAAGUUUACAUGGGUAACUGUGGCAAUUCUAGAGCUAAUACAUGCAUCAUCCCCCAUCUCGGGGUGUAUUUAUUAGAUGGAAACCAAUGCGGGGCAACCCGGAAUAUGGUGAAUCAUAAUAACUGUCGUAUCGAGCAAUCGAAGCGCCAUACAAGUUUCUGCCCUAUCAGCUUUGGAUGGUAGGGUAUUGGCCUACCAUGGCUUUAACGGGUAACGGAGAAUUAGGGUUCGAUUCCGGAGAGGGAGCCUGAGAAACGGCUACCACAUCCAAGGAAGGCAGCAGG